This 6483-nucleotide ribosomal RNA is filed under the name Triticum aestivum (bread wheat). Its description in RNAcentral is "partial small subunit ribosomal RNA". The record is from RNAcentral. Lineage: Eukaryota; Viridiplantae; Streptophyta; Magnoliopsida; Poales; Poaceae.
AUGGAAGAGGAGGAACAUCGUGGAGUUGUUCUGGUAUGCAGCGUCUGUGGGUUCCUCUUCGCUGUCCUUGGCCCACUCAGCUUUUGGAUUCUAUGGGCUGUGAAUUGGAGGCCAUGGAGGUUAUAUAGCUGGAUAUACGCAAGGAAAUGGCCAGCCUAUGCGCAAGGACCUCAGCUAAGCACACUCUGCAGCUUUUUGACCCUUUUUGCAUGGCUUGUCGUCAUUUCCCCUAUAGCCGUUCUGCUAGUGUGGGGAAGCAUCCUUAUUGCUCUUAUGGAAAGGAACAUAACUGGUUUAGCUGUUAUAAUGGUUGGCGUUGCUUUGCUUCUAUCAUUCUACUCUAUAAUGCUCUGGUGGAGAACACAAUGGCAAAGCUCAAAGGCUGUUGCUUAUCUUCUCCUCUUGGCAGUAGGUCUGCUGUGUGCCUAUGAAUUUUGUGCUGUUUAUGUCACAGCCGGUGCUAGUGCUACUGAGAUCAAUUCUCCAUCUGGAUUCUUCUUUGGAUUAUCUGCAAUAUCAUUGGCCAUCAAUAUGCUCUUUAUAUGUAAAAUACUGUUUAAUGGAAGUGGAUUCGAUGUUGAUGAAUACGUCCGGAGGUCGUACAAGUUUGCAUAUUCUGAUUGUGUUGAAGUGGCCCCUGUCUCAUGCUCCCCUGACCCCCCGGAUCCUAGUGAGUUAUACAUGACAAAAUCCAGCAGGGUGUUGCAUCUAGGGCUUCUCUACCUUUGCUCCCUGGUUGUGCUUGUUGUCUAUUCCAUCUUGUAUGGUGUGACAUCAAAAGAAGCACGUUGGUUGGGCGCUUUAACUUCAGUUGCUGUAGUGAUUCUUGACUGGAAUUUGGGCUUGUGUUCAUUCAGGUUUGAGCUUCUUAAAAGUCGGACGCUAGCGUUAUUUGUGGCUGGAACAUCGCGCGUUUUUCUCAUAUGCUUUGGGGUUCAUUACUGGUACCUUGGACAUUGCAUUAGCUAUGCUUUUGUGGCAUCUGUUCUUUUAGCUGCUGCUGUCUCUGGCUGGCUUUCUAUUUCCAACCCCUCAGUUGCAAGGAUUGAUGCACUAAGAAGUACAGUUAUAAAGCUGCGAGAAGGAUUUCGAAGAAAAGGACAAAAUAGUUCUUCAAAUUCAUCAGAAGGUUGCGGAUCUAGUGUGAAGCGUAGUAGUGGUAGUGUUGAAGCAUGUCAACAUGGUAACACUACCGAUUCUAUUUACAGAAGUAAUUCACAGAGUGAUGGGGUCCAUUGGAAUAGUGUUCCUUUUGAUCGAUCCAACAGUUGUCAAGAAGGCAGAAGCUCUGACAAGAACAUAGAUAGUGGACGUGCAAGUUUAGCACAUCGCAGUAAUUCGUGCCUUUCUGCUGUCCAAGACUCUGAAACUGCGAUCAUUUCUGCAGAUAGACAUGGGGAUACCACUGCUUCACUUGUUGUUUGUUCUAGCAGCGGUUUGGAAAGUCAAUGCUGCGGGUCUAGUGGAUCAGCCACUGCCUCGGGUAAUCAGCAACUGUUGGAUUCGAGCUUAGCUGCAAUUUUUCAAGACAGGCUGAAUGACCCAAAGAUCACAUCUAUGCUAAAAAGGAAUGGUGGACUUGGAGAUGUGGAACUGGCUAAUCUUCUACAUGAUAAAGGCCUGGAUCCUAAUUUUUCUUACAUGUUGAAAGAUAAGGUUAUGGAUCCACGGAUUUUAGCUUUGCUACAGAGAAGCAGCCUAGAUGCAGACCGGGAACAUCAAGAUGAUGCAGAUGCUACUGCUACUGAGGAAUUGGAUACGACUAUUGCAAACCAGAUCUCUUUGUCAGAAGAACUCAGGAGAAACGGGCUAGAAAAUUGGCUGAACAUUUCAAGACUGAUUUUUCAUCAAGUGGCUGGUACUCCAAUACGGUCCUUUGUUGUAUUUACCCUAAUAUUUAUUGUAGAGACAGUUACUGUUGCUGUCCAUCGACCAGAGCCCAUCAAGGUGAUAAAUGCAAUACAUGAACAGUUUGAGUUUGGUUUCUCCAUACUGCUUUUAUCACCAGUCGUCUGUUCCAUCAUGGCAUUCACAUGGUCCCUGCAUGCGGAAGAGAUGAUGAUGACAUCCAAACCACAGAAGUAUGGCUUCAUCGCGUGGCUGCUGAGUACAUGUGUUGGCUUACUUCUCUCUUUCUUGAGCAAGUCAUCAGUUAUAUUGGGUUUGUCUCUCACGGUCCCACUUAUGGUGGCUUGCCUCUCAUUUGCUAUUCCUAUAUGGAUGCGUAAUGGUUAUCGUUUCUGGAUUCCGGGAGGGGAACUUGAUAAUCGUGAAAAUAUUCGUCAAUCUCCAGGGAAGAAAGAGGGGACUCUCUUCGCAAUCAGCAUAGUUGUUUUCAUUGCAUCAGUUAUUGGCCUUGGUGCAAUAGUAUCAGCGAAACCUUUAGAUGCUUUGGGCUACAGAGGAUGGGACGCUGAUAAAAAGAGUUUUUACUCUCCCUAUGCAACAUCUAUGUAUCUUGGAUGGGCAUUAUCUUCCACAAUUGCGGUGCUUGUUACUGGGGUGAUACCUAUUGUUGCUUGGUUCGCCACAUACCGAUUUUCGCCUUCAUCGGCCAUAUGUGUUGGCCUUUUCGCAACUGUUCUUGUAUCCUUCUGCGGUGCAUCCUAUUGGGGAGUUGUAAAUUCACGUGAGGACGGGAUUCCUCUUAAGGCUGAUUUCCUGGCAGCACUACUCCCCUUACUUUGCAUUCCUGCAAUGUUUGCUCUGUUCACUGGGCUGUAUAAAUGGAAGGAUGAUGAUUGGAAGAUCUCCCGAGGAGUUUACCUUUUCGUCGGCAUGGGAAUGUUGCUAUUGCUUGGUGCUAUAGCAGCAAUUAUUGUCACAAUUAGACCUUGGACUGUCGGAGUCGCAUGCCUCCUAGUUAUCCUGUUCCUCGUAUUUGCUAUUGGGGUCAUUCACUACUGGAAAUCUAAUAACUUCUAUUUAACAAGAACACAGAUGCUACUUGUCCGUUCCCUUGCUUUUCUCCUCGUGCUGGCUGCCUUCCUUAUGGGUCUGUUUCAGGGCAAACCUUUUCUUGGAGCAUCUAUUGGUUAUUUCUCAUUUCUGUUUCUUCUCACUGGAAGGGCUUUGACUGUCCUUCUAUCUCCACCAAUUGUUGUUUAUUCACCACGGGUAUUACCCGUAUAUGUUUAUGAUGCUCAUGCAGACUCUGCCAAAAAUGUUAGUUACGCCUUCCUUAUCUUGUAUGGGAUUGCAUUGGCAACUGAAGUUUGGGGUGUUAUCGCCAGUCAAAUAAUGAAUCCACCGUUUGUUGGGGCUGCUAUUUGUGCUAGCACUCUUGUAAUUGCCUUCAGUUUCGCUGUUUCUCGUCCAUGCCUAACUCUUAAGAUGAUGGAGGAUGCCAUUCAUUUUCUCAGCAAGGACACAGUUAUUCAAGCAAUGUCACGGUCUGCUAACAAAACAAGAAAUGCUAUAUCCGGGACUUACUCAGCACCUCAGAGGUCCGCAAGUUCUGCUGCUCUUUUGGUGGGAGAUCCUGCUGUUACUCUGGAUAGGGCUGGGAACUUUGUGCUUCCUAGAGCUGAUGUUAUGAAACUGAGGGAUCGUUUGAGAAAUGAAGAAGUCACUACAGGAUCUUUCUUUUGUGGAGUAAAAAAUUGUUUCAUGGUUUGCCCUGGAUCCCCAGCAGACGUUGAUUAUCGGAGGAAUAUGUGUGCCCAUGCACGCAUCUUGGCUUUGGAAGAGGCAAUUGAUACUGAAUGGGUUUAUAUGUGGGACAAAUUUGGUGGUUAUUUGCUUCUGUUGCUUGGAUUGACUGCCAAAGCUGAACAAAUACAGGAUGAAGUUCGUCUUAGGCUAUUUUUGGACAGCAUAGGCCUUUCUGACUUAAGUGCUAAAGAAAUUAAGAAAUGGAUGCCUGAAGAUCGAAGGCAAUUUGAACUUAUUCAAGAAAGCUACAUAAGGGAGAAAGAAAUGGAAGAGGAGGUCUUGAUGCAAAGGCGAGAGGAAGAAGGGAAGGGAAGGGAAAGAAGGAAGGCAUUGUUGGAGAAGGAGGAACGCAAAUGGAAGGAGCUCGAAAUAUCAUUGCUGUCUUCUAUACCUAAUGCUGGAAGCAGGGAUGCUGCGGCUAUGGCGGCAGCUGUCAGAGCUGUGGGAGGUGAUUCUGCUCUGGAAGACUCUUUUGCCAGGGACAGAGUCUCGUCAAUAGCCCUUCACAUACGAAAAGCACAAUUGGCACGACGAGCAGAGCAGACUAGCAUUCCAGGUGCUGUAUGUGUACUUGAUGAUGAACCAAGGAGUACCGGACGCCAUUGUGGAGAAAUUGACCUGUGUCUUUGUCAAAGUCAAAGAGUGAGCUUCUCCAUUGCAGUAAUGGUUCAACCGGUAUCUGGUCCAGUCUGUCUUUUCGGAACCGAAUUUGAGAAGAAGGUUUGCUGGGAAAUCUUGGUGGCAGGGUCAGAACAGGGAAUGGAAGCGGGGCAGGUUGGUCUUAGAUUAGUAACUAAGGGUGAAAGGAUGACCACUGUUGCUAAAGAGUGGAAUAUUGGUGCGUCAAGUAUUGCAGAUGGCAGGUGGCAUAUCGUCACAGUGACUAUAGAUGCUGACCUAGGUGAAGCAACUUCUUUCAUAGAUGGAGUUUAUGAUGGAUAUCAGAAUGGAUUACCGUUGCCUAGAAACAACGGCGUAUGGGAACCUGGGGCAGAUAUUUGGGUUGGUGCGCGGCCACCCACAGACUUGGAUGCCUUUGGUAGGUCAGACAGUGAAGGUACAGACUCAAAGAUGCAGAUAAUGGAUGCUUUCUUAUGGGGAAGGUGUCUGACUGAAGAUGAGAUUGCUGCGCUAUAUACAACCAUGAGUCCUGCGGAGUAUGGCUUUUUUGACCUUGCAGCUGAAGAUGCUUGGCAUGGAAGCUAUUCUGCUAGGGUGGAUGACUGGGAGAGUGAAGAAGCAAACUAUGAGCUAUAUGAUCAAGAGGAUGUUGAAUGGGACGGGCAGUAUUCAAGUGGUAGGAAACGUCCGGUGCGCGAUGCAGUAGCUAUUGACAUUGAUUCCUUUGCUAGAAGACCCAGAAAACCGAGGUUUGAGACACGAGAGGAAGUCAACCAGCGUAUGCUGUCUGUUGAAAGGGCUGUCAGGGAAGCUCUUAGUGCAAAAGGGGAGAGGGCAUUUACUGAUCAAGAGUUCCCUCCAGAUGAUAGAUCUUUAUACGUGGAUCCAGGGAACCCUCCUCUAAAAUUGCAGGUUGUUUCUGAGUGGACGAGGCCUUCUGACAUAGCAAAGGAGAUAUCUAUUAGUUCUCAGCCAUGCUUGUUUUCUGGUUCCGUGAAUUCCUCGGACGUAUGCCAGGGUCGGUUGGGAGACUGCUGGUUCCUGAGUGCAGUUGCAGUUUUAACUGAGAUGUCUCGUAUAUCUGAAGUUAUAAUCACUCCAGCAUACAAUGAAGAAGGGAUUUACACUAUCAGAUUCUGCAUUCAGGGUGAGUGGGUGGCUGUGGUCGUGGAUGAUUGGAUUCCCUGCGAGUCUCCUGGAAAACCAGCAUUUGCUACGAGUCGGAAACAAAAUGAGCUAUGGGUAUCCAUUCUUGAGAAAGCUUAUGCAAAACUUCAUGGCUCUUAUGAGGCGCUAGAAGGCGGGCUUGUGCAAGAUGCUCUAGUAGACCUCACAGGAGGAGCUGGCGAGGAGAUUGAUAUGCGGAGUCCCCAAGCACAGAUCGAUCUUGCUAGUGGAAGAUUGUGGUCUCAGUUGUUACAUUUUAAUCAAGAAGGUUUUCUUCUUGGUGCUGGAAGUCCCUCUGGCUCUGAUGCUCAUAUUUCAUCAAGCGGCAUUGUUCAGGGACAUGCUUACUCCAUUUUGCAGAUAAGAGAAGUUGAUGGCCACAAGCUUGUCCAAAUUAGAAAUCCUUGGGCAAAUGAAGUUGAAUGGAAUGGGCCAUGGUCAGACUCGUCACAGGAGUGGACUGAACGAAUAAAGCAUAAGCUCAAGCAUGUUCCACAGUCAAAGAAUGGUGUAUUCUGGAUGUCUUGGCAAGAUUUUCAGAUCCACUUUCGAUCAAUAUAUGUUUGUCGUGUUUAUCCACCUGAGAUGCGCUAUUCUGUCCAUGGGCAAUGGCGUGGCUACAGUGCAGGUGGUUGCCAAGAUUAUGACUCGUGGCAUCAAAAUCCUCAGUAUCGACUAAGGGUAACAGGACGUGAUGCACUGUAUCCUGUCCAUGUGUUUAUUACCCUUACACAGGGUGUUGGUUUCUCUAGAAAGACAAAUGGUUUCAGGAAUUACCAAUCUAGUCAUGAUUCUUCCAUGUUUUAUAUUGGAAUGAGGAUACUCAAGACAAGGGGCUGCCGUGCUGCUUACAAUAUCUACAUGCAUGAAUCCGUUGGCGGGACAGAUUAUGUAAACUCAAGGGAGAUAUCGUGUGAAUUGGUCUUGGAACCUUAUCCGAAAGGAUACACAAUUGUGCCAACAACUAUCCAUCCAGGGGAGGAAGCACCUUUUGUUUUGUCAGUUUUUACAAAAGCACCAAUCAAACUAGAAGCUGUUUAG